GGGGGCCAGUGUAGAUCUCUUAGGACCGGUGUUAUAUGAUCUCGGCAGCCCCUCCCAGUCACCAGUCUGGCAGCUGCAUUCUGGAUUAGUUGUAGUUUCCAAGUCACCUUUAAAGUUAGCCCCAUAGUUAGAGCUACAUUGCAGUAGUCUAAGCGGGAGGUAACCAAAGCCUUGGCGCAACCGUGUACAGGCUCAUAGGGUCUCAGCCGUUGUACCAGAUGGAGCUGGUAGACAGCUGCCCUGGACACGGAAUUGGCCUGCGCCUCCAUGGACAGCUGUGAGUCCAAAAUUACUCCCAGGCUGCACACCUGAUCUUUCAGGGGCACAGUUACCCCAUUCAGGACCAGAGAAUCCCCCACACCUGCCUACCACUUGUGCCCCAGAAAUAGUACUUCUGUCUUGUCAGGAUUCCACCUCAAUCCAUUGACUCCCAUUCCCCCCAACCACUUCCAGACAUAGGACAUUCACAUUUCACUGGUUCCAAUUUAAACAAGAGCUAGAGCUGGGUAUCAUCUGCAUAUUGGUGAACACCCAACCCAAACCCGCUGAUGAUCUCUCCUGGUGCUUUCAUAUAGAUGUUAAAAAGCAGAAUUGAGUCCAAAAUGGGCUCUUCAUAUCACAAUAGAAUGAUGCGGAUAGGCUGUGAGUAUGUAUGCAUAAACAUGUAUGCAUAAACAAACAAACAAAUGCAAAAGCUCUCAGUUGUCACAGAUGCAUCUCAAGCAUGUUUUCCAAAGACACCAGGUUUUAUUCAGGCUACUUUAAACAAAGUCAGGAAAAUCUAGUGCAUGAAACUGCCUCAGGUAGUAUUUCACUUCAAGCAGGAGUGUUUGUACCAGCUGCCACUGUGCCCCUGGGUCUCUGUGAAGUGGGAGCAUUGCUUAACUUGAAAGCUUUUCUCUCCCCCCCCCCCCCCUUAAAUACAUAUUUCCUUUCAUUUCAGAAACUGCCUUCUGGGCUCACAUUUGCAGUGACAACGCUGUGCUCAGAGGGAAUGUGUAGCAGCCGAUCGUCUCUAGUAAGAGUUGGCAGAUGGGAAGUGGUUUCUCUGCAAGAUGGCAUUCGGCAGACACUCUGGUACUACAAACUUGCUGAAGCUGUGUUGGUGCAAGAAGUGAAUUGAAUCUUGGAGCGCUUCCACACUGUCACUGUUUUUUCAGGUGGGAUUCAGUCACACACUGGCAAAUUCAAGUUGUGAAAUUAACGUCAAUUGGACGGCCCUGCACAACAAAUCUGCUUCUCCAAAAGACUGGACAUUUUGAGAUAAGGAGACUAAAGGGGAAAUGCACUGGAAAGUGUGAGGUAACACUUGCUGUGGUGCAACAUCAUUUAAUCUCCCUGCAAACAAAACAAGUUGAAUACUCAAUAAGAAGGUCAUCUGGAAACACCCAAUCAGAUUAAAGCACAGAAGUGUUGGAGAUAGAGCCAGUAGUUGUUAAACAAAGAAAGGGAAGGGAUGCAAAACAAGUUAGGGUAAAUAGCUCCCUGUGAACAUUUUUUUAGCUAAGAUUAUAUUUUCUUAAAGGAUUUCUGAGGAUUAACAGACAGAUUCUGAUUGAUCUCAUUUUAGGGUAGCUGGUGCACAAUUUUCCCGCACUGCUGAUAGGGCAUUCAGGCUUCAUCCAUGACCACCUGCUUCUCUCAGAGGGCUUCUUAAGGUGAUCAUGCGGCGUGUGAAAUGUCACAAAACCAGGAGCUGUACCAUUCCGCCAACCCCAUAAAAACCUCCACAGUGCUGCAGCACAACUGUGCUCAGGUUUAGGGUUUGAAGUGGAAGGGUUUAAGCCAGGGGUGGGGAACCUGUGGCCCGCCAGGUGUUGCUGGGCUCCAGCUACCAUCUGCCCCAGCCAGCAUGGCCAAGGGCCAGAAGUCCCCCAAUUCUGGUUUAAAUCCUUCCUCUUACACUGCACUGUUCAAGUUGAGGGCUACAAUUCUCCACCAGAUCUAACCAUAACUUUAGGUCCCUGUGGGCCCCUAGCUUGCACCCACCUAUAUAAGAUUCCAUUUUUGACCCAAGGGUCUAUUCCACUUGGCUGCAUGAAUACCAUUAACCUUAUGAGACAAUACCUCAGGAAAGCAUCCUCACUCCCAAAGCACGGGGUGUGGGUGUGUAGGCCUAAGAGACGCUUCUUUCCGCCGUAUACUGAAUCCACCAGUGUUUGCCAUAGUGUGGAGAGGGAAAUUUCCUCACACAUAAUGGGCACGCCAAUAGGGAGAUGCAUGUGAUUGUUUUCUUAUGCACAGCUGUCGCAGGAUAUUUGGGAAAGGAUGCUUCCUCCUCCCUCAGG
Podarcis muralis (Common wall lizard) is the source of this 2288-nucleotide long non-coding RNA. Lineage: Eukaryota; Metazoa; Chordata; Lepidosauria; Squamata; Lacertidae. The record is from Ensembl.